Molecule: non-coding RNA, 67 nt
Organism: Podarcis lilfordi (Lilford's wall lizard)
Lineage: Eukaryota; Metazoa; Chordata; Lepidosauria; Squamata; Lacertidae
Source: the annotation of a GenBank genome assembly
ACAGCUCAGUCAGUAGAGCACAAGACUCUUAAUCUCGGGGCUGUAGGUUCGAGCCCCAUGAUGGGCA